GGAUGCGAUCAUACCAGCAGUAAAGCACCGGAUCCCAUCAGAACUCUGAAGUUAAGCGUGCUUGGGCGAUAGUAGUACUAGGAUGGGUGACCUCCUGGGAAGUCCUCGUGUUCCAUUCC
Molecule: ribosomal RNA, 119 nt
Filed under: Triticum aestivum (bread wheat)
Lineage: Eukaryota; Viridiplantae; Streptophyta; Magnoliopsida; Poales; Poaceae
Source: RNAcentral